GAUGAACGCUAGCGGCAGGCCUAACACAUGCAAGUCGAGGGGCAUCGCGGUGCAGCAAUGCACUGGCGGCGACCGGCGUACGGGUGCGUAACGCGUAUGCAACCUGCCCCGCACCGGGGGAUAGCCCGCCGAAAGGCGGAUUAAUACCCCAUGGCCCCGGGGGCCCGCAUGGGCAUCCGGGUAAAGCCUUGGCGGUGCGGGAUGGGCAUGCGUGCCAUUAGCUGGCUGGUGGGGUAACGGCCCACCAGGGCAACGAUGGCUAGGGGGUCUGAGAGGAUGGUCCCCCACACUGGUACUGAGACACGGACCAGACUCCUACGGGAGGCAGCAGUGAGGAAUAUUGGUCAAUGGGCGGAAGCCUGAACCAGCCAUGCCGCGUGCGGGAUGAAGGCCCUACGGGUUGUAAAGCUCUUUCAGACGGAAAGAAAACGCAUCGGUGAAUACCCGGUGUGGAUGACGGUACCGUAAGAAGAAGCACCGGCUAACUACGUGCCAGCAGCCGCGGU
RNAcentral lists this ribosomal RNA (506 nucleotides) under uncultured bacterium. RNAcentral's name for it is "bacterial SSU rRNA". It matches the Rfam family "Bacterial small subunit ribosomal RNA", at positions 28 to 521 of the family's 1533-position model. The record is from RNAcentral.